GAUGAACGCUGGCGGCGUGCCUAAUACAUGCAAGUAGAACGCUGAAGCUUGGUGCUUGCACCGAGCGGAUGAGUUGCGAACGGGUGAGUAACGCGUAGGUAACCUGCCUCUUAGCGGGGGAUAACUAUUGGAAACGAUAGCUAAUACCGCAUAAAAGUCGACAUAGCAUGAUGUUGACUUGAAAGGUGCAAUUGCAUCACUAAGAGAUGGACCUGCGUUGUAUUAGCUAGUUGGUGAGGUAACGGCUCACCAAGGCGACGAUACAUAGCCGACCUGAGAGGGUGAUCGGCCACACUGGGACUGAGACACGGCCCAGACUCCUACGGGAGGCAGCAGUAGGGAAUCUUCGGCAAUGGGGGCAACCCUGACCGAGCAACGCCGCGUGAGUGAAGAAGGUUUUCGGAUCGUAAAGCUCUGUUGUAAGAGAAGAACGAGUGUGAGAGUGGAAAGUUCACACUGUGACGGUAACUUACCAGAAAGGGACGGCUAACUACGUG
Molecule: ribosomal RNA, 497 nt
Filed under: uncultured bacterium
Lineage: Bacteria
Description: partial 16S ribosomal RNA
Rfam family: Bacterial small subunit ribosomal RNA
Source: RNAcentral